GAUUUUGGAUACUUGCCUCGUGU
RNAcentral lists this non-coding RNA (23 nucleotides) under Arabidopsis thaliana (thale cress). The record is from RNAcentral. Lineage: Eukaryota; Viridiplantae; Streptophyta; Magnoliopsida; Brassicales; Brassicaceae.